RNAcentral lists this ribosomal RNA (484 nucleotides) under uncultured bacterium. Its description in RNAcentral is "partial 16S ribosomal RNA". It matches the Rfam family "Bacterial small subunit ribosomal RNA", at positions 30 to 507 of the family's 1533-position model. The record is from RNAcentral.
AUUGAACGCUGGCGGCAGGCCUAACACAUGCAAGUCGAGCGGAUGAAGGGAGGUUGCUCCUGGAUUCAGAGGCGGACGGGUGAGUAAUGCCUUGGAAUCUGCCUGGUAGUGGUGGAUAACGUCCGGAAAAGGGCACUAAUACCGCAUACGUCCUGAGGGAGAAAGUGGGGGAUCUUCGGACCUCCCGCUAUCAGAUGAGGCUAGGUGGGAUUAGAUAGUUGGUGGGGUAAAGGCCUACCAAGGCGACGAUCCGUAACUGGUCUGAGAGGAUGAUCAGUCACACUGGAACUGAGACACGAUCCAGACUCCUAUGGGAGGCAGCAGUGGGCAAUAUUGGACAAUGGGCGAAAGCCUGAUCCAGCCAUGCCGCUUGUGUGAAGAAGGUCUUCGGAUUGUAAAGCACUUUAAGUUGCGAGGAAGGGCAGUAAGCUAAUACCUUGCUGUUUUGACGUUACUAACAGAAUAAGCACCGGCUAACUUCGUG